Molecule: RNA transcript, 4909 nt
Organism: Canis lupus familiaris (dog)
Lineage: Eukaryota; Metazoa; Chordata; Mammalia; Carnivora; Canidae
Gene name: rho GTPase-activating protein 20-like
Exons: 11
Source: RefSeq, a predicted model, not a curated record
CAUGUGAGUUGUUUUAAGUAGCAUACUCACAGGCAUUUUUUUUUCAGUUUUAGUAAUUAUGUAUGUAUUUUCAUCUGUAGUCAGAAAAAUACCUGUUUUUUUUUUCCUAACAUGUUUUAAUGCAUAUUAUUACCUGAGCAAAGAUUGUAAAGUCCAUGCUGAAUACUUAAAAACAUGUCAGUAUUUGUAGAAAAGUCAUGAAGGCGGUGUACACAUGAUGGAAGGCUGAGAAACAAUGUCAUAACCCUUUGUACUCAGGCAUCAGAGGGGGACCAGGCAACUGUCCCUCUCAGCUGAGUGGUGCAUGCUCACAGUGCUGCUGUGCUCACACAGUCCCCAAGUCUGCUUCUCCCUACACAGAGUCCUUCUGGGACUGCUUGAAGGGCAUUUUGCUUUUUGCCCAUAAAAGACUAGCACCAUGAGUCAGAUAGUACUAAGCUGAAAGUUCACUCUCUAAUUCUAUUUCUUAUCACUAAUUAUGCCCAGUCAUGUUGUCCAAAAUAGCUCACCAGACUUUAUGAAAUGAAUACAGAGAACUGUAUCAACAUUAAAAUGUCCCAAAUUUUAACAAUAUGAAACUCAUUUUUGUUACUCAACUUCCCCACAAACUAAAUCCCCUUGCAAAUAAAAGCUCAUAGAAAUUAAAGUCCAAAUGCUCUCACUCUCCAUUUUAUACAAUUGGCUCAGUGUCAGCCAGAGGCUUUUACUCUGAGCCAAGGUUCCUAUAGCUAAAGCUGUGUCCUGGCACAGGAAAGAGUAUAGCUUCUUCAGCCUCCUCAAAGUUGGUUCAAAUCUCUAAUUAGUUCUAGUCUCCAAGGGGUCAGCAGUCAAAAAAGAAACUGCAUAUCCACUAUAGAAGUUGUCACAAAACUGUGGUACCCCAAUUAAGUGACUAAUGUCAUCUGACACUGCUAUCGGCCAAAGAGCACAGCAGAUAACUUAGUAGCACCUAUGCUGGAGACAGCGAGGACCUGGUCUCAGUCCGGUGGCAAGCCAGCCAGCUGCACCCGCACUGAAUCCACGGCCUGUGAAUCUGUAUGACUGAGCAGAAAGUGCUCAUCAAUAGUUGUGCUUCCACAUGUUUAAUAUAGGUAUUCCUUUGCUUUGGCUGUUAUUGUUUUGUUUUGGUGAUGUGUGCGUGGUUUCCCAUAUAUAUAUUACCUAUUUUCUCUCAGAGAGUGACAUUUGAGACAUUAUUGCCUUCUUCAAAAAUGUAGGUAGAUAUUCUGGUUUCUCCAUUUCUUUGUGUCUUGUGUCUCAUGUUUUGGCUACUUUGGUACAAGAUGGUGAGACCACAAGUCUAGAGAAAACUUCUACUCCCAAAUUCUUCCAAGUCUGUUCUCUCCAGAACAGUGAACUGGAACAGUCACUCUCCUUUAUAAACACAUGAGGAAUGGGAUAAUGAACAUCACCCUACUCCCUUAGUACUAUGUUUAACUUACUAGUAUAUGACUUUUUAUUUAUUCUGAAAAUGGUAAUUGUCAUCUCUCUUCCAUAGACGUUUCAUUCCUACCUAGGCAGGUUGAGUUGGGCCAGGCCAAGCAGUAGUUGGCCAGAAUCAAGAAUCUAAGAAAAUAAAAUACUGUGAUCACAGUAAGAGGCAAUGAGUCAGGAUUAGUCUUUUGUCAAGGAGUAAAAGAAGGAUAACAAAGUUUAGCAAAACGUUAAGGAGAUUCUAGAUAUCACAGAUUAAAGUAGUCAAAAGUUAGUAUUCCAAAGAGUUGCACCAUUGAAAAGAUAGAACCUGAGCACAAACCAAAAAGAUUCCAAAAAACUUAAAUUCAGGGCAGAAACUUUUCUAGUCUCUUUUACUCCUUCCUGUCUCCGUAGAAUCGGACUACUGGUGUAAGGAGAGAGAUUGCAGCUGGAAAGGGAGUGGUGCCAAGAGCUGCAGCUGCAAAAAAUCGAGUUUUUUUUCUUCUUUUAUACUUAAAAUUACUACAUACACCUGUUUUAAAAAUCAAGCAGUACAGAGUGAUACCAAGUGAAAAGUAAAUUCUCAGCCUGAACUUGUUCCCCGGCUCAUUUCCAGCUCCCUAUUCUUAAGUAUUUUCUGUUCUCCUGGUGGUUAUCACAGUACCUCUGAAAUAUAUGUUAAUACUUGAUUUCUUCUUUUAUCUUGUUUAUCAACUUUAGAUAGUGUCUAUUGGAAGAUGAGAAACUUAUUUCUUUGAUCCAUCCAUGUCUACGUUUUUCCAGUUACAUUGCUUUGAUAUUUCUGGAAGAGCUCAUCUGUGGAGGUGGACACCGACAGCGAAAGCACUACAUCAUCUGAGGGUGCCACUCGUACCUUGCUCAUCCAUGGCCCUGUUGAGCUCAAGAGAGGCUGGAGGAGGCAGAAGCAGCAGCUUUUCUUGUACAGUGAUUUGUUGCUGAUGUCUAAUACCAAGUAUAAAAAAAACUUUAAGAUAAAAAAGAAAAUACCACUGAACACCAUGUGGAUUGCCAACUGCAUGGAUACAGUGGGAGAUGCCAACAACCAUUCUGGGAGGUCCUUUGUGUUGGGCUGGCCCAUGGUGAACUUUGUGGCCACCUUCAGUUCUUCAGAACAAAAGGAAAAAUGGCGUUCUUACCUUCAAAGGUACAUCAUGCUAGCCAAAGAGAAGGAGCAGCCAAAAAGCAUUCACCUCAAAAUCUUCACAGACGACAAGAACAGUGCCUGUGGCUCUGAGAAAGACUACCAGCUGUGGGCAAGUUCUGGCAAGGAAGAAGUUCCACUAAUUGGACACGAACAUCCCUAUGGAAUUAAAAUGAGCCAUAUUCCAUCUACUAAACCGCUGUCAAAGGAACCAGAGGACUCCAUCUCUCCUUCCACAACUCAAGAGUCCCUCCUUCUGGAGCAGAAGAUCAUAGAGAUGCAAAUUCAGUUCAUGCUGAAGCCCAGGCACCCAGCCCAGAACAAGCAAGGGAGAGGCCAGAAGACCACGAAAAGCAGUGCUUUCAGAAACUUGGCCUUUUGGCGGCACGCUGGCACUUGCCAGAACAACCUGUGCUCAGCUGCUCCUUCUGCAAAACCCAGACAGCUCUUUGGAGUUUCCCUCACACAUAUCUGUGAUAAUGACAACUUGCCCGUCCCAAUUCUGGAUUUUCUUCGAAACACCCAAGGAGGUAUAUUUUCCUUCGACCUCUAUGACAAAUGGCUUGGUGUUAUUAAUGAAGGGACCAAGGAGGAGAAAAUAAAUGCAGCCCAGAGGAAGAGGAAGGCCUCUCGUACCAGCAGAAUCCUGCAUACAUACAAAAAAGAAAAAGCCAUCCACCAUUUCAUAAAACAAAAGCCAAUUAUAGUGUGGAAAAUACAAAUUGCAGAAAACCAGAAGUCAAUAGAAGAAAAACUGCUGGUUUACAUGGCGGAAAGGGCCUUCACUCUGAGCCGUUACUUGGUGGCCGCUGCCAGCACGAAGGCAAGGAGCUGCCGCAGUCCUGGGGGCUGAAUCGCGCCGCCCCUCCGGAAGGGCCGAAAGCAUUCUCCGGGGGUGUGGGGGCCUGGCCAGGCCGAUGAGGGCCGCGAGCGCUUGUCCACACGCUGAGGGUCAUUCACGAAUUUGUCGACAACAGCUUCCUGUACCUUCUCGAUGAGGCGCUACUUAAUCUUGUUGGUGGUGAGUGGAUGUGUCGUCACGGCAAAAAGUAGGAAGUUCUGCUUCUCUGUGGUCAAUCCGCCCUUCUCCACCAGGAUUGGAAAGAAGCGGCAUCUCUGGGUGGUGCAGUGGUUUAGCGCCUGCCUUUGGCCCAGGGUGCGAUCCUGGAGACCCGGGAUCGAAUCCCACGUCGGGCUCCCGGUGCAUGGAGCCUGCUUCUCCCUCUGUCUAUGUCUCUGCCUCUCUCUCUCUGUGACUAUCAUAAAUAAAUAAAAAAUUUUUAAAAAAAAGGGAUUGGAAAGAAGCAAGAGAGUCCAUUCUCACCACAACCACUCAACAUUUUUUUUGAGGUCCUAACCAAUGUAGUAAUGCAAAAAAAGAAAGAAAACAUAAGUAUUGGAAAGAAAAAACUAAAAUUCUCCCAAUUUAUAUAUGAUACAAUUUUUUAUAUAUAAAAUACCAAGGAAUCUAAAUACCCAUUACAACUAUUAAGUGAAUUUAACAAGGUUCCAUACAGGAUACCGAUACAAGUCAAAUACAAAACUAAGUCGUUUUUCUAAAUUUUAGCAAUGAAUAACUUGAAAAUGAAAUAUAAAACCGUAAUAUACAUAAUAAUAAAAAACCCCACUGUCUUCUUAUUAGUGAUGUAUAUCAGGCAACAGAACACUGUUAAGCAAUACAAAGAACAGCUGAUGUAUACAACAAUAUGAAUGCAUCUCCAAAACUUUAAGAUCAGCAAGAAAAACCAGACACACAAUUACAUACAUUUAGUGUAUAACUUCAGUUAUACGAAAAUCUAGAAAUGGCAAACUACUCUAUGGUUUUAGAUUUCACAGCAGUAGUUUCCUGUCGGAAAGGGGGUUGACUGGAAAGGAACAUGAAGGAACUUUCUGGGAUGAGGGAAAAUAUUUACAUCUUGAAAAUGGUGUGGAUGAGAGUCAUGAAUUUGUCAAAACUCUCCAAACUGUACACUUAAGAUCGGUGUAUUUCACUGCAUAUAAAUUUUACAUCAAAAAAAAUUUUAAAAUACAGCUACCUGUGAUUUUCUCCAAGAUCACAAUUCUUUCUGAAAGCCUAACAAUGUAAUUGCACACUCAGACAAGUUGUUUUGUUCAUUUCCGUCAAGGCUUUUGGUUUUGCUGUAGUACCUGGUGUUGACCAUAUUUUGUAUAAUUAACAAAUACUUUUUAAACAUUAUUAAUUUUUCUCUAUCUUAUUAACUUUUGUCACACUUUUUUCAUCACUUGAUAAACAAUAACCAUUUUUGUUGUGGAGCGUCUAGUCAAUAGUAAUGGAGUUGUUUUUAGUGGGGAUUGGUUCCCAUAUAACCU